UGGGGAAUUUUGGACAAUGGGGGAAACCCUGAUCCAGCCAUCCCGCGUGUGCGAUGAAGGCCUUCGGGUUGUAAAGCACUUUUGGCAGGAAAGAAACGUCGCGGGUUAAUACCCCGCGAAACUGACGGUACCUGCAGAAUAAGCACCGGCUAACUACGUGCCAGCAGCCGCGGUAAUACGUAGGGUGCAAGCGUUAAUCGGAAUUACUGGGCGUAAAGCGUGCGCAGGCGGUUCGGAAAGAAAGAUGUGAAAUCCCGGAGCUUAACUUUGGAACUGCAUUUUUAACUACCGGGCUAGAGUGUGUCAGAGGGAGGUGGAAUUCCGCGUGUAGCAGUGAAAUGCGUAGAUAUGCGGAGGAACACCGAUGGCGAAGGCAGCCUCCUGGGAUAACACUGACGCUCAUGCACGAAAGCGUGGGGAGCAAACAGGAUUAGAUACCCUGGUAGUCCACGCCCUAAACGAUGUCAACUAGCUGUUGGGGCCUUCGGGCCUUGGUAGCGCAGCUAACGCGUGAAGUUGACCGCCUGGGGAGUACGGUCGCAAGAUU
This 547-nucleotide ribosomal RNA is filed under the name uncultured bacterium. RNAcentral describes it as "partial 16S ribosomal RNA". It matches the Rfam family "Bacterial small subunit ribosomal RNA", at positions 355 to 895 of the family's 1533-position model. The record is from RNAcentral.